UGGGGAAUAUUGCACAAUGGGCGCAAGCCUGAUGCAGCCAUGCCGCGUGUGUGAAGAAGGCCUUCGGGUUGUAAAGCACUUUCAGCGAGGAGGAAGGUGGUGAGCUUAAUACGCUCAUCAAUUGACGUUACUCGCAGAAGAAGCACCGGCUAACUCCGUGCCAGCAGCCGCGGUAAUACGGAGGGUGCAAGCGUUAAUCGGAAUUACUGGGCGUAAAGCGCACGCAGGCGGUUUGUUAAGUCAGAUGUGAAAUCCCCGGGCUCAACCUGGGAACUGCAUUUGAAACUGGCAAGCUAGAGUCUCGUAGAGGGGGGUAGAAUUCCAGGUGUAGCGGUGAAAUGCGUAGAGAUCUGGAGGAAUACCGGUGGCGAAGGCGGCCCCCUGGACGAAGACUGACGCUCAGGUGCGAAAGCGUGGGGCAGCAAACAGGAUUAGAUACCCUGGUAGUCCACGCUGUAAACGAUGUCGAUUUUGGAGGUUGUGCCCUUGAGGCGUGGCUUCCGGAGCUAACGCGUUAAAUCGACCGCCUGGGGAGUACGGCCGCAAGGUUAAAACUUAAAUGAAUUGCGGGUCUAGCUGUUCC
RNAcentral lists this ribosomal RNA (583 nucleotides) under uncultured bacterium. RNAcentral describes it as "partial 16S ribosomal RNA". It matches the Rfam family "Bacterial small subunit ribosomal RNA", at positions 355 to 936 of the family's 1533-position model. The record is from RNAcentral.